This 490-nucleotide ribosomal RNA is filed under the name uncultured bacterium. Its description in RNAcentral is "partial 16S ribosomal RNA". It matches the Rfam family "Bacterial small subunit ribosomal RNA", at positions 29 to 507 of the family's 1533-position model. The record is from RNAcentral.
AGUGAACGCUGGCGGUAGGCCUAACACAUGCAAGUCGAACGGCAGCACAGGAGAGCUUGCUCUCUAGGUGGCGAGUGGCGGACGGGUGAGGAAUACAUCGGAAUCUGCCCAGUCGUGGGGGAUAACGUAGGGAAACUUACGCUAAUACCGCAUACGACCUUCGGGUGAAAGAGGGGGAUCGCAAGACCUCUCGCGAUUGGAUGAGCCGAUGUCGGAUUAGCUAGUUAGCGGGGUAAUGGCCCGCCAAGGCGACGAUCCGUAGCUGGUCUGAGAGGAUGAUCAGCCACACUGGAACUGAGACACGGUCCAGACUCCUACGGGAGGCAGCAGUGGGGAAUAUUGGACAAUGGGCGCAAGCCUGAUCCAGCCAUACCGCGUGGGUGAAGAAGGCCUUCGGGUUGUAAAGCCCUUUUGUUGGGAAAGAAAUCGUUCAGGCUAAUACCCUGGGAGAAUGACGGUACCCAAAGAAUAAGCACCGGCUAACUUCGUG